GAGUAUCAAUUGGAGGGCAAGUCUGGUGCCAGCAGCCGCGGUAAUUCCAGCUCCAAUAGCGUAUAUUAAACUUGUUGCAGUUAAAAAGCUCGUAGUUGAAUUUCUGCUGUUUCGUUGACUGCGUUUGGCGUUUGUCAUCGUUGCGGCUUGGUUGGGUUUCGAUUAUUCGUUUCCCGGCGUUUACUUUGAGAAAAUUAGAGUGCUUGAAGCAGGCUUUUGCCUUGAAUACUUUAGCAUGGAAUAACGGAGUAGGACUUUGGUUCUAUUUUGUUGGUUUUAGGAGCCAGAGUAAUGGUUAAUAGGAACAGUUGGGGGCAUUCGUAUUUGACUGUCAGAGGUGAAAUUCUU
This 348-nucleotide ribosomal RNA is filed under the name Theileria equi. RNAcentral's name for it is "SSU rRNA". It matches the Rfam family "Eukaryotic small subunit ribosomal RNA", at positions 539 to 921 of the family's 1831-position model. The record is from RNAcentral. Lineage: Eukaryota; Apicomplexa; Aconoidasida; Piroplasmida; Theileriidae.